UUCAUUGGGACCACAGACAGGAUCACAGAGCACCCGGCCGGUCCCCCGGAGGAGAAGGGUGCGGCCGCACUCAUCAUCCUAGCCGUGCUGUGCGUGGCAGGGGUCGGGGCCGGGCCUGGGUGUGCAGAAGCAGGUGUCCCCGGGGCGGCUACGCAGGUGCCCAGACUGUGGGGCCCACGCUGGAGUUCACAGACCGUGCCUGAUUGGAACUCACCGCCUGGGACACAGAGGCGUCGGUGAGAGGGCGUCGGCCACUUGAGAAGGGACAGGCGCAGGCCAGGUGGCAAAGGGGACCGGAGCCCCUGCCCCAGGAGUGCUGUUGGCGAGCGCCCAGCGCUGACCCCAGGGCCCUGAGGGAGGCCCUCCCGGAGGGUCAGCAGCCCCGCAGCCGAGGCCCCAGAUGAGUGGGCCUCACCUGGCCACAUGCUCUCCCGCCCAGAGCCCAGGAGCAGCCGCGGCCGGCACAGGCCCUGCUCAGCAUGCCGAGCAGGCGAGGACACGGGCCGUUCUGAGAUGCGACGGGGGACUUUGGAUUCCCGGGAAGAGGGCAUUGCUGCUCCACUAGGACGUUUGCAGCACCUGUCAUAGGCGCUCCCGCGUGUGCACACGUGUGUGUGUGGGAGUGCAGGAAACGCCGGACACGGGAGCUUCCUUCUCCUCUGGGACAUUUGCUGGGAGGACGCCGUUCCCCCGAGGCCAAGAAUGGCUUUGGCCCAGGGAAGCCGCUCCAUAGCCUGCAGGGUGGGCGGCCCACGGCCGCAGACUCCGGAGGCGGCUGCAGGUGACAUGGGCACUGGACCAAGGCAGGACACGGUGGGCAGCUUGGCCUCUGUUUAAGAUGCAGCAUUGGCCCCAGGGCUGUGUCCCUGCCCAUCCCAGGACCAGUCGAGCUCAGGCCACUUGGUCCAUCGCCGCCGGACGCCUGUGCUGUGCAGCCCACGCCCCGGAGCUCCGAGGGACAGCGUCUCUGGAGGAUACCUCCCGUGGGCUCGGGCGUGUGGCGAGGGAUAGCAAAGCAGUAGGAGGUGGCCGUGCGCCGUGCCAGAGCUCCACGGUUGUCAUGAGCCGCAGUGGGCGCCACCCAGGGCCUCCACACUAGGACUGAGCGCUCGCUCCCCCUCAGCCUGAGUGUCCCCUGGAGAGGCUGGGGCUGCGGAUCUCGGGGCUGGGCGGUGGUGGCCACCAGCUUUGCCCGCCCCAGCUCUCCCCCACUGCUCCCCUGCGGGCGCCGCGGGCACCCUGGACUGCAGUGACCGCCCCAGCCCUGUCUCCCUGGGGUCCUAGCGGCCCCUGGGACCUGGGGCCGGGGAAGAGCCGCGCUUGUGCGUUCUGAGGCUUGCCCGGGUCCCGGCCCCUCGGCUGUGGCUCUCAGAACUGUGUGCGGAGAAUACAAGCCGUGAUCCACA
Lepus europaeus (European hare) is the source of this 1406-nucleotide long non-coding RNA. RefSeq lists it as uncharacterized. Lineage: Eukaryota; Metazoa; Chordata; Mammalia; Lagomorpha; Leporidae. The record is from RefSeq and is a predicted model, not a curated record. The transcript has 3 exons.